GGAGAAUGAAAGACUUUGAAGAGAGAGUUCAAAAGGGCGUGAAACCGCUUAGAAGAAAACGGAUGGAGCCGUCGGGGGCCUCCGGGAAUCAGUCGUACGCGGCGCGAAACGCUUCGUCGCUCGGAACGCAAGUCCGACGUCGGCGCGUAUAGUAGCGCUUGUGCGACGCAUUUCUCGGAGGUAAGCACUGCGACCGAUACGGUAGGCUGGCGGGGCGUCGAGAUUGAGGGCGAGACUUCUCACGGAGUCACGUAACCAGUCUUAACGUGUAACUCGUCGGACCGAGACCAAGUAUCGAGUGCCAAAUAUGUAUAUACGUCGGCGUAAACGCGCGCUCGAACGGUGGAAAUUCGGUCGAUAGCGUUUGUAUCUGCUCGCAGGUGCCGACCUAUUCGUAUCGAUUUUAGAAACCGUCGGCGACAUACGACGUAUAGGCGUCGGCAGUGUCAGUGUCGGUCACCCAUCCGACCCGUCUUGAAACACGGACCAAGGAGUCUAACAUAUGCGCGAGCUAAUGGGUGGAAAACCCAAAGGCGCAAUAAAAGUAAAGGCCGUUUCGGACGGCUAAGGUACGAUCCUAUGGUCCGAGCGACCGUAGGCGCAGUACCGUCCCGUCCCGACCGCAUAUCGGUAGGGCGGAGAUAGAGUGCAUACGUUGGGACCCGAAAGAUGGUGAACUAUGCCUGAGCAGAGCGAAGCCAGAGGAAACUCUGGUGGAGGUUCGUAGCGGUUCUGACGUGCAAAUCGAUCGUCAGACUUGGGUAUAGGGGCGAAAGACUAUCAACUCAACGGGGGGUGCUCUCUCUCACACAAAAA
Molecule: ribosomal RNA, 816 nt
Filed under: Nevadanema sp. D4
Lineage: Eukaryota; Metazoa; Nematoda; Enoplea; Dorylaimida; Qudsianematidae
Description: partial large subunit ribosomal RNA
Rfam family: Eukaryotic large subunit ribosomal RNA
Source: RNAcentral